UAGGGAAUAUUGGGCAAUGGAGGCAACUCUGACCCAGCCAUACCGCGUGCAGGAUGAAGGCCCUCUGGGUUGUAAACUGCUUUUAUCAGGGAAGAAACGCUAGGAUUCAUCUUAGCCUGACGGUACCUGAGGAAUAAGCACCGGCUAACUCCGUGCCAGCAGCCGCGGUAAUACGGAGGGUGCAAGCGUUAUCCGGAUUUACUGGGUUUAAAGGGUGCGUAGGCGGAUUGUUAAGUCAGUGGUGAAAGAUUCGAGCUCAACUCGGAAACUGCCAUUGAUACUGAUGAUCUCGAAUACAGUUGAGGUAGGCGGAAUAUUACAUGUAGCGGUGAAAUGCUUAGAUAUGUAAUAGAACACCGAUUGCGAAGGCAGCUUGCUAAACUGUUAUUGACGCUGAGGCACGAAAGCGUGGGGAUCAAACAGG
This 424-nucleotide ribosomal RNA is filed under the name uncultured bacterium. Its description in RNAcentral is "bacterial SSU rRNA". It matches the Rfam family "Bacterial small subunit ribosomal RNA", at positions 355 to 776 of the family's 1533-position model. The record is from RNAcentral.